GAUGAACGCUAGCGAUAGGCUUAACACAUGCAAGUCGAGGGACCGGCGCACGGGUGCGUAACGCGUAUGCAACUUGCCUCACAGAGGGGGAUAACCCGUCGAAAGACGGACUAAUACCGCGUGCUGUGAGAUAGGCAUGCGUCCCAUUAGCUAGUUGGUGAGGUAACGGCUCACCAAGGCAACGAUGGGUAGGGGAACUGAGAGGGUGAACCACCACACUGGUCAUGAGACACGGACCAGACUCCGACGGGAGACAGCAGUGAGGAAGAUUGGUCAAUGGUCGAGAGCCUGAACCAGCCAAGGCGCGUGAAGGAUGACUGUGUAGUGAUUGUAAACUUCUUGUGUAGGGGAAUAUGUACCCUACGAAUAAGCAUCGGCUAACUCCGUGCCAGCAGCCGCGGUAAUAC
Molecule: ribosomal RNA, 407 nt
Filed under: uncultured bacterium
Lineage: Bacteria
Description: partial 16S ribosomal RNA
Rfam family: Bacterial small subunit ribosomal RNA
Source: RNAcentral